GCCCGGAGCGGGAGGAGCGGGAGGAGGAGGAGGAGGAGGAAGUGGCUGCGGCGCGCUCGGCCAAUGAGUGUCUGGAGCUGUGAUUAACCAGGCAGCAACACCUCAUUUCCUCCCGGCGCGGAUCCAGGGAGCCGGGAGGGAGAGGGAAGGCGGCGGGGCGGGGCCGUCCCCGCGUCCCCUGCAGGCGCCGGGCCGGGGGCGAGCCCGCCGAGCCCCGCCGAGCCUGGCCGCGCCGUCUCCGCCGACCCCCCACCCCACUCCCGGCGCGCCGGCCACUGUCUGGCCCGGGCCAGCGGCCGGAGCAGGGAGGAGGCAGGGAGCCGGCCGCCAGCGGGCCAGGCCCGAGCCGGGCUCCCGCGGCCGGGGUGGGAGGAGGAGAGGCCGCGCGGCGCGGGUGAGUGCCCAGAUGGAAGCUGGAAGACCGAUAUCAAGGUGACAGCAAAUUUGUUUUCCAGUAAGAGCUUUCUUCCUGCCUUAUCCAUGGCCAACUUUUCAAGAAAUUAUCACAUAUGAAGAGGGAAACAAUCUGCUUGGUUCUCAUCCGGGGGACACAGAAAGGAGGGAGAAGCCAUCAUGUCUGGUCCUAUCUUCGUCAAGCCACAUGCAACUGGCAACCAACACGCUUCUCUCUGCGGGAGGAGGCUUAUCAGAGCUGGGUUCCCAAACUAAAGGGGCGACACACAGAGCAGCCUGCCUCCUGUCCAACUUGAGUGAACUCCUCGUACGGGGGUUGUCCAGAGCAUCUCCACAGGCAAGAAGCUGCAGGUGU
Long non-coding RNA from Ochotona princeps (American pika), 769 nucleotides. RefSeq lists it as uncharacterized. The transcript is spliced from 3 exons. NCBI's taxonomy places the organism in Eukaryota, Metazoa, Chordata, Mammalia, Lagomorpha, Ochotonidae. The record is from RefSeq and is a predicted model, not a curated record.